AUACUGCCAGUGACAAACUGGAGGAAGGCGGGGACGACGUCAAGUCAUCAUGGCCCUUACGGCCAGGGCUACACACGUGCUACAAUGGUCGGUACAAAGGGUUGCUACACAGCGAUGUGAUGCUAAUCUCAAAAAGCCGAUCGUAGUCCGGAUUGGAGUCUGCAACUCGACUCCAUGAAGUCGGAAUCGCUAGUAAUCGCGGAUCAGAAUGCCGCGGUGAAUACGUUCCCGGGCCUUGUACACACCGCCCGUCACACCAUGGGAGUUUGUUGCACCAGAAGUAGCUAGCCUAACUGCAAAGAGGGCGGUUACCACGGUGUGGCCGAUGACUGGGGUGAAGUCGUAACAAGGUAGCCGUAGGGGAACCUGCGGCUGGAUCACCUCCUUAACGAA
RNAcentral lists this ribosomal RNA (393 nucleotides) under Acinetobacter baumannii. RNAcentral describes it as "bacterial SSU rRNA". It matches the Rfam family "Bacterial small subunit ribosomal RNA", at positions 1146 to 1533 of the family's 1533-position model. The record is from RNAcentral. Lineage: Bacteria; Pseudomonadati; Pseudomonadota; Gammaproteobacteria; Moraxellales; Moraxellaceae.